RNAcentral lists this ribosomal RNA (497 nucleotides) under uncultured bacterium. RNAcentral describes it as "partial 16S ribosomal RNA". It matches the Rfam family "Bacterial small subunit ribosomal RNA", at positions 28 to 507 of the family's 1533-position model. The record is from RNAcentral.
GAUGAACGCUGGCGGCGUGCCUAAUACAUGCAAGUCGAGCGAACAGACGAGGAGCUUGCUCCUCUGACGUUAGCGGCGGACGGGUGAGUAACACGUGGAUAACCUACCUAUAAGACUGGGAUAACUUCGGGAAACCGGAGCUAAUACCGGAUAAUAUAUUGAACCGCAUGGUUCAAUAGUGAAAGACGGUUUUGCUGUCACUUAUAGAUGGAUCCGCGCCGCAUUAGCUAGUUGGUAAGGUAACGGCUUACCAAGGCAACGAUGCGUAGCCGACCUGAGAGGGUGAUCGGCAACACUAGAACUGAGACACGGUCCAGACUCCUACGGGAGGCAGCAGUAGGGAAUCUUCCGCAAUGGGCGAAAACUUGACGGAGCAACGCCGCGUGAGUGAUGAAGGUCUUCGGAUCGUAAAACUCUGUUAUUAGGGAAGAACAAAUGUGUAAGUAACUAUGCACGUCUUGACGGUACCUAAUCAGAAAGCCACGGCUAACUACGUG